This 576-nucleotide long non-coding RNA is filed under the name Piliocolobus tephrosceles (Ugandan red Colobus). RNAcentral's name for it is "lncRNA (ENSPTEG00000010645.1)". Lineage: Eukaryota; Metazoa; Chordata; Mammalia; Primates; Cercopithecidae. The record is from RNAcentral.
UAUAAAACUGAAAAUAACCGUUUUUUUAUUUUUAUUUUUUUUACAUGCAUGCAAUUAUAUAUAUAUAUAUAUACAUGUACACAUACUAUAUAUAUAAAUAGUUACAUACCCUACAUCGAGUUAUAAAAUUUUUACUUUUAUGCAGAAUUCAAAGAACUAAAAAUAUCAAAAGACAAAUGGUAUGUUCUAUUUGUUCAAGAAAUUAUUAAAGAUAUUAAAAUAAAAGCAGGAGAAUAUGGUGAUCUCAGUAUUGAUUAUUUUAGAAAAAGCGAAAAUGAAGAGGAACUAGAAAACAAUAAACUGGGGUCCGUUGGUUUGUUUGCAAAUAAAGGAAACUGCAAAUUCAGGAACAUAAUAUUCAGGGGUAAAAAAUGGAGCACAGAAUACGAAAAAUUAAAGUCGAAAAAUGAUGUUUUAUUGUAUGACCUUGAAGAAAUAGAAGCGUUAUAUGAAAAAUCGCAAGGCUGGUGUCCUAAGUCUUCGUUGUGUUUAAAAAAUAAAUACGAUGUAAUGGAAUCUUAAAAACAAAAUAUUUAAUCAUUUAUUAUAUGUUAUAUACAUAUAACCAUGUAUACA